Molecule: long non-coding RNA, 5765 nt
Organism: Gasterosteus aculeatus aculeatus (three-spined stickleback)
Lineage: Eukaryota; Metazoa; Chordata; Actinopteri; Perciformes; Gasterosteidae
Source: Ensembl
CUAAAUCAACCGUAAGGCGGAAAUCAUAGUGUGUGACAGAUGUGACAGCUGUUUUAAAUGCAGUGCUUGUGUCGUGCGUGGGUAUCGCCAUCAAAUGGUGUUUUGUUUGAUAGCGUUGGUGUUCAAAUAAAGACACAACUUGCGCAUUUAUUCCAGAUAUGUCAAGGUUUCAUUUUCUUUUUCAAAGUGGUGCAUUUGUACAGAUGUCAAAAUACAUACACCGACAGCGUUUCUCCAUUGCUAUAGAGGAAAAGGGGGGGUUGGUGAGACACAGCGACCUGGUGAGUACAUUGUAGUACAGACCAGUUGGCUGGGAACGUCUCCCUGCAGGCCGGACGGUCCCGAGCAGAUCUGUGCUGAUGUCCAGUUCUCUGCGUCCAUCGCGCGGGACAAAGCGCUUCAGUUCAGUAUUUGGGCGUCACGGGUUAGCAGAGGAACGUCUCGAUGGACCGGAGGCUGGCAUCAGCGCUCAGUGUUCAGAGGGGGGAGUGGGGGAGGGAGGGGGUCAACUUACGGAUAAGCUCUACCCCCCCCUCCCCCCACCCUCGCCCCUCCGUGGCAGGGUCAGAGGUCACGGAAAGUACAGCCUGUCCCCUGUCCAAGUGUCGCCUUGCGCAGAGAGGCAGAACUAAAGACUAAUCCGAGCCUCCUCCAGCAUAACACACAUAAUAUCAUAAUAAUAAUUCAUAGUUAAUUGUCAAUAAUGACAUUUGUUAAUCAUAUCAAAUAAUAUGUAAUACAUUUACAUAUCUUUAUAACAGCCCAUGACGUAACUUGAUUGGGGUGAAACUGUUAAGUGGGCCUCUAUAAUUUUUUUUUUCUUUCUGCCUGAGUUGGUUAUCCAGCGCUAUGGACAUCGACGAAACAUCAUAAAAAAAAAGAAAAAGAAAAAACAAUUUGACAAAAAAUGAAUCCUGAUUGAAUUCUGUUAACUUUAACACACAAACUGCCAAAACACAUCCUGUAUGCAAAAUGAAAGUACAAACAUCAAGAAACAAAGAGCACACAUGCCUUAUUUUUCUGAUCGAAAAAAGUCAAAGCUCACACACCAACAUUCAUUUUAUCUGUGAAAUUGUGCAAGAAGCCAAUUAAAAAAAAAAAGAAGACAUUAGCAGUGUUCCUCAAGUGAGGAAGCUUGUCGUAAAAACUCAACAAUGACACAUUCUGUGAAUAGUUUUAAGUCCCCUGACAUUAUAUUGAGUGCUACAAGGAGACCGAAAACACACAAAAAGCUUCUGCACCAAAAAAAAGAAACGCAGAGGUUUGUGCGCACGAGCCGAGCCGACUCCCUACACAUCCCGCCCCCAAACGUGACCACAACACAACCCAUCUAACCGCACGGCGCGGCGGGGCGCGUGAUGGGAGCGCUUCCAAACAAACCCCAACGCAACAAAAGACGGUGUGCGUCCCGUGACAAAAGGCUUUCCCAGUGGAAAAGGACCAAGGGGCCACCGAUCACCUUCGGGCCCGUCGGACCCAAGAACACGCCGGGCGGCGAGCGAGAUGGAGCGCGGACAGAUGAACGCGAGGUUACGGCGAGGUGAUGAUGUGCAACUCUCUCUUUUUCAUCCUCAUUCAGCCCCUUUUUUCCAUCACCUUCUCUCUGUCCGGUGUAAGUAAACCCCCCCCCGGCCCCUUCUAGGGAAAGUAUCAGCCUGAGACACCAAGCCGGACGCAGGAUUAGAAAGUGCUGAAAUAUCAUCAAGUCUUUUACAUCUACUUACAUGUGCAUCUCUGUUGGGUGGUUGUUUUUUUCCGUUUCUUUUCUUUUUUACAUUUUGUUACGCACAAACACACUCAGACCAGCUCAGGACACAUUUGAACACCGGGGUUGUGCACAAGCACACAUUCCGCAUUGUGCAGACACACACCAGGGAGACACGACACGAUCUCUCACAAACACUCAAAAUUAGGAAGGCCGCCGAGACAAAAGGGGCCGAGAGGUCGGGCUCCGUCUGGUUCGUUUCUCUUCACAAACCCCCCUCGCCUACAGAUGUGAGGCACACACACACACACACACACACACACACACACACACACACACACAUCGACAGACAGCAAAAUACACAAGCCAUUAACGCGGAUGAGACGCUGGAGUAGGACUUUCAAACAUAUACUUGGCACAGCAAAGAGUGGCGCGGGGAACGAAUGGAAGUAUUGCACAUUGCGGUACAUUUCAAGUGGCUGAAGAGGUUCAAUUUGGGGAUUUAUAUUAACAAAAUGAAAACUACAAUAAACCCUCACACAAUGUUGACCCGCUCCACUGGAUCCAGAGUGGCUCUACACUUCAGACCGCUUUGUCUCAGGGUCUAUUACUAAGCAUGCGGAGCAUGGACACCCUGAUCUUUGUGAGCUAGUGGUGAAAGGAGAUGGUUAGGGAUAAGAGUUAGGGGCUAAGGGUUAGGGGUUAAGGGCCGCGCAGGCCGCGCCGAAAGGUAGCUAACGGUUGUUGAGGGUUAAUUGAUUGCGUUGCCUCAGGAGGAGGUGUGAGGCCGGCUGGCUGUGACUGGGUACCUGAAACAGAGGCUCAGAACGUCCGCCGGUUACGUCCUGCGUGACGACAGGCGGCGACGUCGGAGGUUUUGGGGGUCGGAUACUGCAUAUAUGAGACACUUCCCUGAAAAACUAGCAACUGACGUUGCAACUGCACUUCCUAGAGAUUUAAAAUGUACUUUAUGAUGAGGGGAGAGGUACUAAUUGAAGCGAGGUGUGUUCAGGUAUAUUAGCUUUUACGUGCACUUUCUAGUUUAUGGCAUGAUUGUGUUUUCUGUCUACGGGUGUUUGCAAUGAAAAACGAUUACUGUGAUUUAAUUUUAUUGCAGAGAAUGAGUGGAAUGACAUUGUGUGUGUGUGUGUGUGUGUGUGUGUGUGUGUGUGUGUGUUUGUGUGUUCCACUCAUGCGUGAAGAGAGUGCCUGAAUACUGUUGUACUAUUGCUUUCCAAACCAAAUUAAGAUUGGCAUCACUUAGCUUUGGCUAACAACGUUUCCAGCCGGACAGUCGAAGUGUUGAUGGUCUGAGUGGCUUGAAGGAUUAUUCAUAUGUUCUGCUCUUUCGUGAGGAAAGGUUGUUGGACAUAAAAAAAACAGGUAUGUGUGACAUGUAUAUACAUUUACAAACGACACAGCCACUCACGGAUUGCCAAACAUGCACACGCACACAUGCUACUAUUCGUACUAGUAACGAUCAUGAUGUUUCAAUAGGAAAAGGAAGAAAUGAAGAUGUACUACUGCGGUGAUGUUGAUCUGAGAAACCCUGUUUAUUAUAAAAAAAUAAAGCAUUUUCAAAUCUCAUUUGGGGUCUACUCUUCUACUCGCCAUCCAUCGCAUCCAUUCCGCCAUCACACUGCGUAACUCCACCCACAUGAAGCGCUGCCCUGCACAGCUAAACCGGGGUUAUUUUUGUUGGGAUGAGAAUACAACUGCUCUACUUCCUCGAUGCAAAAAGAUCCCGUCUCUGCAGUGAGAACGGGUAGAAAGCUCAACAGAUGCGCCUUAACAGCACCUUCAGACCGGCAACCUGCGCAUGUUAACGGCUUGGUAUGAGAGAUGGCUUAAUGUUCAAUGGCAUUAUGUGAAGAUAUUCCACCCUCCACCAAGUUUAUCAGGUAGAUUUAAAAAAACACAAAAACACCGUCCAAUUUCAUUAUGUUUUGAUCAACUUUUAACAUUUUUAAAGGAAGCAUCUCUGCAGUUCAGUUCCACUGAAGUUAGAAGAUAGAUGAAAUAAAGAGCAACCGCCUUUACAUGCGGUGAAAGGAUCAUGCGUCGGUGCACACCUUGCGUUACGUGUCAAAAAUCAAGCUAAGAAAAGGACAGAAUUUGAGCUUUCAGAUGCAAGAAAGAGACGUUGAGAGUGUUGAACUUCUGACAAACGUCGGGCCGACCAGGCAGGCGUAUCUGUUGAGCUAACUGCUGCAUCUCGGGAAAAAACGGGCUUCCAGAUGAUUUGCGCCAAAACUGGACCCGAGCCGCUGAACCCUGGUUUCAACAGCAGGUAAAGUGGAGGGAAAAAAAAGUUUCCUUCGGAUUCACUACAUGGCAUAUAUUUUAAAUUCAGUAGGCAGGCACGUGUUAAUUAUCCGGUUUUUACAGCUAUGGUAAUGUUUAUAAAAACUCUAAUGAAAUGUGACCGUAACUGCGUUAAUGUAGAAACUUUUCCUCUACAACGUUUCAAGUGCCUGUUGAGGAACAACAACCCUGGUCUCCUCCAGUGUGUCGCGUGGUCUAGGGCUCGUCUUUGUCUCCACCCGUCUCCCUCCUCCCGAUGUGCAAAUUGCAAAGAUUCUAUUAAGUACGACUCAAAGUACAAACCCUGGACAUUUAGCAUCGACUUUAUAUCAAAUGAGUAUAACCUGUUCCUAUACACGGUAUACAUACAAUCAUACACGCUCACACACAAACACGCUGACACAAACUCACCGCCGAGCGCUGUGUGCUGUGAGCGGUGUGUGUGUGUGUGUGUGUUAAUCCGAUGUCAACUAGCGUCUUCAAAUCAUCUGCAAUCGUCUAAAUACAGAACAUAUAAUAGGUCAUUUAGUCAUAUGGAUGGUCUGCAUUGCGUUGUGAUUGUGUGUGUGUGUGUGUGUUUGUGCAGACAGACACAGACCUGCAUCAUGCACACUCCAGCACACACACACACACACACUACAAAUAUAUGACACCUUUCCGGAAUUGAUCCUUUCGUCCGGAUCCCAAAAGUUCAAAAGACAUUCCAAAGCGUUCAACGUACUCAAAGCUCACCGACUGAAAACCGUCAUGCUAUAGUUUCCUCUGAGCGUAACCCAGGAAACAGACGUCCCCGUCCUCCCCGUCCUCCCCGUCGCUGUGAUCCGAUGGCACAUGCGCUCCCACGUUACCAAACCACCCCUUCACUUCUCAAAAAAAAAAGCUUCAUCAUUACAAAGUGCUGCUGCUACCUUCUACCCCUGUCUUUAAAAGAAAAGAAAAGAAAAAAAAAUAAUCUAAAAACAUACAGUACUGCGUAAAUAAAAGCGGCAACAAAAAAGUUGUCGGAUGCAUGGCGAGUGUGACGGGUCUGUUAAGUGCUUUGAAACAUCCCGACCCUCUCAGAGCCGCUUCCUCUCGCGCAGCCUUUCUCCAUAAAGAAAUAUAAAGUAAUCCAUCAGGAAAAACAAUGAGGAUUGUAUGCGGUCUUCCUCUUAACACAUUUCUUAGACAGACGUUCUCCAACCCAGUGUGUUUGCACUUGCAUGUGAUAGAUUAUCUCACAUCUAUACAUCGACAUCGACUCACCCGGGUUCCGUCUAGGACUAAAUGACCCCUGAUUAAGGUUUUUGACAAUCAUUGAAAAUAACUAUCUGGUGAGAUAGAAGACGAAGGGUUCAUGAAAACCCCCCAAAAAACAUUUUUUUAAAUGAAAGCGCUCAAGAUGAAAGCAAAGGCUCCACUGAACAAACACUGAGCAAACGUUGUUCCCUCUACAUUUUUGUGUGGCACACUGGCACCGCCUGAUGACAUCACCGGUCAGGCCCGGCACACUCUGAUGACAGUGUGGUUUAUUUGUUCUCAAGAGACGGAGAAUGGUGUUUUUUUCGUUUUGUUUUUCCUCUCGGGAUUUUGGAGAAUCCUUCAUGCUCUGGAUCGUCGGACGUUGUUACAUCACUCCCGUGGCUCAACGUGUGUAGAAGUGUUUUCCCCUCCCCAGUUGCUUCAGAGAGGUAAACCGUGUGCAUACUCAAUUUGAUAUCUACACUGUGUGUGAUGUAUAGCCGGCCAGAAAAAGAGCCCUCAAGCAUUGCUGCUG